This is a long non-coding RNA of Pygocentrus nattereri (red-bellied piranha), 1114 nucleotides long. RefSeq lists it as uncharacterized. Lineage: Eukaryota; Metazoa; Chordata; Actinopteri; Characiformes; Serrasalmidae. The record is from RefSeq and is a predicted model, not a curated record. The transcript is spliced from 4 exons.
ACGCGAUAAGGGUUCUCGAACUCAUAGCGGGAGUGUUUCGUGUUGUUUGGCCGCGAACACCACUCGGUUCUGUUAGUCCGUAUCUCGUUCCGACGUUUUAACCUCAUUUGUGCUCGAUGUCAGGUCAAAGUAUCUGUGAAAUUGUGUGGAAAUGACUUCGCGCCCCUGCGCAUUCCAGUGUUGGUUCAGUCCGCGGUCGAGUCCACCGCACAGAGCGUGUGGGGGUGUUAAGAGUUCCAGCUCCGUUCCCAGGCCGACGCUGUUCCAGUCGGAGCCGCUUACACAUUAACUCCAGCCCGCUUCCCGCUCCGCUCCGUCCCGCUGACACACCCCGGACAAGCGGCUCCGUCGACCGAGACUCGGUUUAGUCGUAACGGGGCCGGUUAAGGCGGUUUCUCCGGGGCUUCGCUGGCUGGCGGUGCGCGAUGCCGACGCUGCGGGACAGCAGUGCGACCCACCCGGUGGAGAACCAGCACCAGGUCCGGGUGAAGGCCUACUACCGCGGGUGGUGGAGCAGAAGCGUUUGGAGCGCAGGAAGGUCCGCAUGGACCCCCUCUUCCCACAGAACUCGCACUGCAGCAGAUCUAACGGACUGACCGCUGACCUCUCUGAGAACACAGCACACACACCCCCCCUCAGAACCCACAGCCUGAGCACCCCUCUGACCAUCACUCUCAUCUGUCUCAAAACAACUGCACGGCUAAAUCUUCACACACUGGCCUCAAACCACGUGGAGCUGAGUAAUCUCUAAUGGACUAAGUGCUAAAGGGGUGUGUUGUCCAUGUCCGAGUCUGAGGAGUUCUCGGGCUCCUCGGUGUCCGGCAGGAAGUCGAGGUGUUCCGCUCCAUUCUCCGGCAGCUUUCGGUCCUCGGGCAGUUGGACCUGCUGCUGCUUCUCCGCAGCGGUUUGGCCCACCUGUGGAAGAAAGCGCACCUGUCACAGCGCACCUGACCAAGCGCACGGACACUGCAGGUGCAGAGGGAAAGGACUGCUAGCACUCCAGACUAGCUAUGGUGCCUCCUGGUGGACAUACCGGGAAUGGCGCCAGCCCCUCUGUGAUGACGAAGCCCUCUAUGAGGUGUGUGAGGAUGUGUGGUCUAACGCCGGCCUGCGG